AUUGUGUAACUGAAGGUAUUCUCUUACAUUUAAAAGAAAGGGAAAAAAGAGUUAACUCAGGAGGAAAAAUUCUAAAAAUAGAUGCAACCUAGGAGAAAAAAGACUGGUUUAACUUAACUUAGAUUAGCUUUACUGAAAUAAACUAGGAGAACUAAAGAACGAAAGGAAAGAGUGAAAUACUCUUUUCAAUUAUACUUGCCUUAGUAUUAGGAACCUGCAGGGUAUUUGUUUUGUUUUCUGUACUGUAUUUUAUAUGUGUGUUUUGCAUUCAGUAAAUUGCCGGCCUUUUGUACUUAGAGCAACGGUCUCUGGUGUGAUUAUUCUUGCUUCCCACUCCUUAGAACCUAGAACUGGUCCAGUGGCGCAGUAAGUGGGGUGAUACCGGUGCUACAAAUUCAAUUAAAUUUUAUUUGUAUAGCGCCAAAUGAUAAUAUACAUUAUCUCAAGGAGCUUUACAUAGAAGGUCAAGACAUUAAAAUAUUGUUUGAUAUAGAGAAACCUAACAGUUCCCACAAUG
Molecule: unclassified non-coding RNA, 517 nt
Filed under: Hevea brasiliensis (rubber tree)
Lineage: Eukaryota; Viridiplantae; Streptophyta; Magnoliopsida; Malpighiales; Euphorbiaceae
Source: RNAcentral